RNAcentral lists this ribosomal RNA (530 nucleotides) under uncultured Bacillus sp. RNAcentral's name for it is "bacterial SSU rRNA". It matches the Rfam family "Bacterial small subunit ribosomal RNA", at positions 9 to 524 of the family's 1533-position model. The record is from RNAcentral. Lineage: Bacteria; Bacillati; Bacillota; Bacilli; Caryophanales; Bacillaceae.
GAGUUUGAUCCUGGCUCAGGACGAACGCUGGCGGCGUGCCUAAUACAUGCAAGUCGAGCGAAUCAUUAGGAGCUUGCUCCUUUUGGUUAGCGGCGGACGGGUGAGUAACACGUGGGCAACCUGCCUGUAAGACUGGGAUAACUUCGGGAAACCGGAGCUAAUACCGGAUAAUCCUUUUUCUCUCAUGAGUAAAAGCUGAAAGUCGGUUUACGCUGACACUUACAGAUGGGCCCGCGGCGCAUUAGCUAGUUGGUGAGGUAACGGCUCACCAAGGCGACGAUGCGUAGCCGACCUGAGAGGGUGAUCGGCCACACUGGGACUGAGACACGGCCCAGACUCCUACGGGAGGCAGCAGUAGGGAAUCUUCCACAAUGGACGAAAGUCUGAUGGAGCAACGCCGCGUGAGCGAUGAAGGCCUUGGUCGUAAAGCUCUGUUGUUAGGGAAGAACAAGUACCGGAGUAACUGCCGGUACCUUGACGGUACCUAACCAGAAAGCCACGGCUAACUACGUGCCAGCAGCCGCGGUAAC